AACUGCGAAUGGCUCAUUAAAUCAGUUAUCGUUUAUUUGAUAGUACCUUACCACUUGGAUAACCGUGGUAAUUCUAGAGCUAAUACAUGCUAAAAACCCCGACUUCGGAAGGGGUGUGUUUAUUAGAUAAAAAACCAAUGCCCUUCGGGGCUCUUUGGUGAUUCAUGAUAACCUAACGGAUCGCAUGGCCUUGCGCCGGCGACGGUUCAUUCAAAUUUCUGCCCUAUCAACUUUCGAUGGUAAGGUAUUGGCUUACCAUGGUUUCAACGGGUAACGGGGAAUUAGGGUUCGAUUCCGGAGAGGGAGCCUGAGAAACGGCUACCACAUCCAAGGAAGGCAGCAGGCGCGCAAAUUACCCAAUCCCGACACGGGGAGGUAGUGACAAUAAAUACUGAUACAGGGCUCUUUUGGGUCUUGUAAUUGGAAUGAGUACAAUUUAAACCCCUUAACGAGGAACAAUUGGAGGGCAAGUCUGGUGCCAGCAGCCGCGGUAAUUCCAGCUCCAAUAGCGUAUAUUAAAGUUGUUGCAGUUAAAAAGCUCGUAGUUGAAACUUGGGUCUGGCUAGCGGGUCCGCCUCACCGCGUGCACUUGUCCGGCUGGACCUUUCCUUCUGGAGAACCUCAUGCCCUUCACUGGGUGUGUUGGGGAACCAGGACUUUUACUUUGAAAAAAUUAGAGUGUUCAAAGCAGGCCUUUGCUCGAAUACGUUAGCAUGGAAUAAUAGAAUAGGACGUGCGGUCCUAUUUUGUUGGUUUCUAGGAUCGCCGUAAUGAUUAAUAGGGAUAGUCGGGGGCAUCAGUAUUCAAUUGUCAGAGGUGAAAUUCUUGGAUUUAUUGAAGACUAACUACUGCGAAAGCAUUUGCCAAGGAUGUUUUCAUUAAUCAGUGAACGAAAGUUAGGGGAUCGAAGACGAUCAGAUACCGUCGUAGUCUUAACCGUAAACUAUGCCGACUAGGGAUCGGGCGAUGUUUCUAUCUUGACUCGCUCGGCACCUUACGAGAAAUCAAAGUU
This 1012-nucleotide ribosomal RNA is filed under the name Sarimanas shirakamiense. Its description in RNAcentral is "SSU rRNA". It matches the Rfam family "Eukaryotic small subunit ribosomal RNA", at positions 85 to 1105 of the family's 1831-position model. The record is from RNAcentral. Lineage: Eukaryota; Fungi; Ascomycota; Dothideomycetes; Pleosporales; Melanommataceae.